AGCAGCCGCGGUAAUUCCAGCUCCAAUAGCGUAUAUUAAAGUUGUUGCAGUUAAAAAGCUCGUAGUUGAAUUUCGGGAUUGACACAUCGGUCGUGCCUUAAGGGGUAUGAACUGGUGUAGUCAAUUUCUCACCUUCUGGAGAACCGCGAUGCCCUUAAUUGGGUGUCGCGGGGAACCAGGACCUUUACUUUGAAAAAUUAGAGUGUUUAAAGCAGGCAUUUUGCUUGAAUACAUUAGCAUGGAAUAAUAAAAUAGGACGGCAUGAUUCUAUUUUGUUGGUUUCUAGGAUCACCGUAAUGAUUAAUAGGGAUAGUUGGGGGCAUUAGUAUUCAAUUGUCAGGGGUGAAAUUCUUGGAUUUAUUGAAGACUAACUACUGCGAAAGCAUUUGCCAAGGAUGUUUUCAUUAAUCAAGAACGAAAGUUAGGGGAUCGAAGACGAUCAGAUACCGUCGUAGCCUUAACCAUAAACUAUGCCGACUAGGAAUCAGACGAUGUUAAUUUUUAAUGUAC
This 510-nucleotide ribosomal RNA is filed under the name uncultured Glomus. RNAcentral's name for it is "SSU rRNA". It matches the Rfam family "Eukaryotic small subunit ribosomal RNA", at positions 569 to 1077 of the family's 1831-position model. Lineage: Eukaryota; Fungi; Glomeromycota; Glomeromycetes; Glomerales; Glomeraceae. The record is from RNAcentral.